CCUCGACUUCGACUACGUCCAAGGAGCUGCUUUCACAACAUCAACCAGAUCACCCUCACAGAAACUCGUAUUCAUCGACCCAACGAUGAUGGGAUCACAUAUAUUGACACGAAUUGGCUGAGGUCAAUAGAGUCAACAUGGCAAUCAACGACGAUGAGAAUGGGGACUAAGCAGGUGGCUUAGGGU
Phragmites australis (common reed) is the source of this 186-nucleotide long non-coding RNA. RefSeq lists it as uncharacterized. The record is from RefSeq and is a predicted model, not a curated record. NCBI's taxonomy places the organism in Eukaryota, Viridiplantae, Streptophyta, Magnoliopsida, Poales, Poaceae. The transcript is spliced from 3 exons.